RNAcentral lists this ribosomal RNA (465 nucleotides) under Vreelandella stevensii. RNAcentral describes it as "partial 16S ribosomal RNA". It matches the Rfam family "Bacterial small subunit ribosomal RNA", at positions 338 to 795 of the family's 1533-position model. Lineage: Bacteria; Pseudomonadati; Pseudomonadota; Gammaproteobacteria; Oceanospirillales; Halomonadaceae. The record is from RNAcentral.
CCUACGGGGGGCAGCAGUGGGGAAUAUUGGACAAUGGGGGCAACCCUGAUCCAGCCAUGCCGCGUGUGUGAAGAAGGCCCUCGGGUUGUAAAGCACUUUCAGUGAGGAAGAACGCCUGGUGGUUAAUACCCAUCAGGAAAGACAUCACUCACAGAAGAAGCACCGGCUAACUCCGUGCCAGCAGCCGCGGUAAUACGGAGGGUGCGAGCGUUAAUCGGAAUUACUGGGCGUAAAGCGCGCGUAGGUGGCUUGAUAAGCCGGUUGUGAAAGCCCCGGGCUCAACCUGGGAACGGCAUCCGGAACUGUCAAGCUAGAGUGCAGGAGAGGAAGGUAGAAUUCCCGGUGUAGCGGUGAAAUGCGUAGAGCUCGGGAGGAAUACCAGUGGCGAAGGCGGCCUUCUGGACUGACACUGACACUGAGGUGCGAAAGCGUGGGUAGCAAACAGGAUUAGAUACCCGUGUAGUC